RNAcentral lists this long non-coding RNA (372 nucleotides) under Pan troglodytes (chimpanzee). RNAcentral's name for it is "long non-coding RNA NONPTRT013864". Lineage: Eukaryota; Metazoa; Chordata; Mammalia; Primates; Hominidae. The record is from RNAcentral.
GUCUGCACUGGAUCCUCACAGAACCACAAUCUGAGUGAAAGUGACACCACAUGACUUCUGAGACUUGGCCCUAAAAGGUGACACAGCUUCCAACUGGCUGACCUGGGACAGUCACUUUCGGAAUCCAGCCACCAUGUGGGAGGCAGCCUGGGUCACGUGGAGAGGCCACAAGUAAGUAUUUGCCAUCUGAGGUCCCUGCUAUAGCCAGAAGCAACCAUGUGAGAAUCUGAGUGAGAAGCACCCACACUGAGCCCAUUAACCACAGACUGCACAAGAGAAAUCGAAAUGAUUUUCUUUUUUUUUUUUUUAAAGAGAGGAAUUUCUCUAUGUUGCUCAGGCUGAUCUUUAACUUCUGGGCUCAGGCAGUCCUCC